AUUGAACGCUGGCGGCAGGCUUAACACAUGCAAGUCGAGCGGGGGAAGGUAGCUUGCUACCGGACCUAGCGGCGGACGGGUGAGUAAUGCUUAGGAAUCUGCCUAUUAGUGGGGGACAACAUCUCGAAAGGGAUGCUAAUACCGCAUACGUCCUACGGGAGAAAGCAGGGGAUCUUCGGACCUUGCGCUAAUAGAUGAGCCUAAGUCGGAUUAGCUAGUUGGUGGGGUAAAGGCCUACCAAGGCGACGAUCUGUAGCGGGUCUGAGAGGAUGAUCCGCCACACUGGGACUGAGACACGGCCCAGACUCCUACCGGAGGCAGCAGUGGGGGAUAUUGGACAAUGGGGGGAACCCUGAUCCAGCCAUGCCGCGUGUGUGAAGAAGGCCUUAUGGUUGUAAAGCACUUUAAGCGAGGAGGAGGCUACUUUAGUUAAUACCUAGAGAUAGUGGACGUUACUCGCAGAAUAAGCACCGGCUAACUCUGUGCCAGCCGCCGCAGUAA
Molecule: ribosomal RNA, 501 nt
Filed under: uncultured bacterium
Lineage: Bacteria
Description: partial 16S ribosomal RNA
Rfam family: Bacterial small subunit ribosomal RNA
Source: RNAcentral